This 475-nucleotide ribosomal RNA is filed under the name uncultured Glomeromycotina. RNAcentral describes it as "SSU rRNA". It matches the Rfam family "Eukaryotic small subunit ribosomal RNA", at positions 376 to 858 of the family's 1831-position model. The record is from RNAcentral. Lineage: Eukaryota; Fungi; Glomeromycota.
GGUUCGAUUCCGGACAGGGAGCCUGAGAAACGGCUACCACAUCAUGGAAGGCAGCAGGCGCGCAAAUUACCCAAUCCCGACACGGGGAGGUAGUGACAAUAAAUAACAAUACGGGGCUCUUUCGGGUCUCGUAAUUGGAAUGAGUACAAUUUAAAUCCCUUAACGAGGAACAAUUGGAGGGCAAAUUUUGGUGCCAGCAGCCGCGGUAAUUCCAGCUCCAAUGGCGUAUAUUAAAGUUGUUGCAGUUAAAAAGCUCGUAGUUGAAUUUCGGGAUUGACACAUCGGUCGUGCCUUAAGGGGUAUGAACUGGUGUAGUCAAUUUCUCACCUUCUGGAGAACCGCGAUGCCCUUAAUUGGGUGUCRCGGGGAACCAAGACCCUUUCUUUGAAAAAAUUAGAGKGGGUUAAAGCAAGGMUUUUUGCUUGWGUACAUUAUCAUGUGAAAAUAAAAAAAUGACNGGCGUGUGUCUUNUUUU